UGGGGAAUUUUGGACAAUGGGCGAAAGCCUGAUCCAGCAAUGCCGCGUGUGUGAAGAAGGCCUUCGGGUUGUAAAGCACUUUUGUCCGGAAAGAAAUCCUUGGCUCUAAUACAGUCGGGGGAUGACGGUACCGGAAGAAUAAGCACCGGCUAACUACGUGCCAGCAGCCGCGGUAAUACGUAGGGUGCAAGCGUUAAUCGGAAUUACUGGGCGUAAAGCGUGCGCAGGCGGUUUGCUAAGACCGAUGUGAAAUCCCCGGGCUCAACCUGGGAACUGCAUUGGUGACUGGCAGGCUAGAGUAUGGCAGAGGGGGGUAGAAUUCCACGUGUAGCAGUGAAAUGCGUAGAGAUGUGGAGGAAUACCGAUGGCGAAGGCAGCCCCCCUGGGCCAAAUACUGACGCUCAUGCACGAAAGCGUGGGGAGCAAACAGGAUUAGAUACCCUGGUAGUCCACGCCCUAAACGAUGUCAACUAGUUGUUGGGGAUUCAUUUCCUUAGUAACGUAGCUAACGCGUGAAGUUGACCGCCUGGGGAGUACGGUCGCAAGAUUAAAACUUAAAUGAAUUGACGGGGUCAUAGCUGUUUCCU
RNAcentral lists this ribosomal RNA (587 nucleotides) under uncultured bacterium. RNAcentral's name for it is "partial 16S ribosomal RNA". It matches the Rfam family "Bacterial small subunit ribosomal RNA", at positions 355 to 1375 of the family's 1533-position model. The record is from RNAcentral.